RNAcentral lists this long non-coding RNA (517 nucleotides) under Capra hircus (goat). Its description in RNAcentral is "lncRNA (ENSCHIG00000001351.1)". The record is from RNAcentral. Lineage: Eukaryota; Metazoa; Chordata; Mammalia; Artiodactyla; Bovidae.
CUGUCACUUAAAUCUUUGAGCUGUGUAGCCCACAAACUAUUGCUAGAAACCAAUGACGUUGUAAAGCAACUUUGAAUUGGGCUUCCAGGUGGUGCCUGUUAGAAGGGCCUAAGAGCAAGGCAUCAUGGGAGACCGGGCGCCAUGAAUGUCUCGCUGUCGACUGGGAGGUUGCAAAGCGGCUGCUGCUGUUUUCCUUCCAAUCCCGGAGCCAGCUGUCUGGCCCACAGCUCCAGAUAUAUCAAGAUUGAGACACAUUUCCAAGCACCAAGAGACUGCUGGGAUCUCUCUCUGAAUUGGUACCUAAGUACUUUGGCCACCUCAAGCGAAGAGUUGACUGAUUGGAAAAGACCCUGAUGCUGGGAGGGACUGGGAGCAGGAGGAGAAGAGGACGACAGAGGAUGAGAUGGCUGGAUGACAUCACUGACUCGAUGAACGUGAGUCUGAGGGAACUCUGGGAGUUGGUGAUGGACAGGGAGGCCUGGCGUGCUGCGAUUCAUGGGGUUGCAAAGAGUCGGAC